This 24-nucleotide ribosomal RNA is filed under the name Synergus umbraculus. RNAcentral describes it as "partial 28S ribosomal RNA". Lineage: Eukaryota; Metazoa; Arthropoda; Insecta; Hymenoptera; Cynipidae. The record is from RNAcentral. RNAcentral also lists the same sequence under 1 other name.
UGACGACCUCAGAUCAGGCGAGAC